AGGGAAUGAAGUAUCUAAAAGAAGCUGCUAACUAUCUUUUAAAGCGGUUUAAAUCCGUUUUUCCCUU
RNAcentral lists this transfer RNA (67 nucleotides) under Halyomorpha halys (brown marmorated stink bug). RNAcentral's name for it is "tRNA-Ser". Lineage: Eukaryota; Metazoa; Arthropoda; Insecta; Hemiptera; Pentatomidae. The record is from RNAcentral.